RNAcentral lists this ribosomal RNA (250 nucleotides) under uncultured bacterium. RNAcentral's name for it is "partial 16S ribosomal RNA". It matches the Rfam family "Bacterial small subunit ribosomal RNA", at positions 524 to 773 of the family's 1533-position model. The record is from RNAcentral.
UACGAAGGGGGCUAGCGUUGCUCGGAAUUACUGGGCGUAAAGGGCGCGUAGGCGGCCUGCCAAGUCAGACGUGAAAUUCCUGGGCUUAACCUGGGGGCUGCGUUUGAGACUGGUUGGCUAGAGGUCAGAAGAGGGUCGUGGAAUUCCCAGUGUAGAGGUGAAAUUCGUAGAUAUUGGGAAGAACACCGGUGGCGAAGGCGGCGACCUGGUCUGAUACUGACGCUGAGGCGCGACAGCGUGGGGAGCAAAC